This 138-nucleotide small RNA is filed under the name Acinetobacter haemolyticus. Its description in RNAcentral is "Manganese sequence". The stretch from base 1 to 123 matches the Rfam family "Manganese Mn2+ riboswitch aptamer (yybP-ykoY)". Rfam says of the family: This RNA was originally discovered in E. coli during a large scale screen and was named SraF. The record is from RNAcentral. Lineage: Bacteria; Pseudomonadati; Pseudomonadota; Gammaproteobacteria; Moraxellales; Moraxellaceae.
UUAAACUUCAUUGGGGAGUAGCCGCUCUUUACGCAAAGUAAAGAGGUGAUGAUCAACAUAAUUGUUCAACCGAACAUGGUCAUCAUAGCAAAGAACCAAAGCAGCUCACGCUGUGCUUUUGUUGGCAAGACCUUUGAU